AUGAAGGUAUUAAUCCUCCUGCACCAGUUCCCAGUCGAUGUCUUAACACUUACCCUCAUCAUGCAGCAGCUUCUGUUCCUGGCCGUCCAUUAUAUGGAUUUCAUGAUCAAUAUCAUACUCCAUCUCCUGCACUCUAUAGUUAUCUAUCAAGGCAUGCUCCUGCUGUCUAUAACUGAACAAUGUCACAGCGCCCUCCUGAAUAUGAUGCUGUGCCUAAAACGAAGCUCAAGAAGAAAAGCAGGCCUUAUGACAUUCACAAGCUAUCUUAUAAAGUGGCGGCAAUGGAGUUAG
This 291-nucleotide long non-coding RNA is filed under the name Prunus dulcis (almond). Its description in RNAcentral is "sRNA ncRNA". The record is from RNAcentral. Lineage: Eukaryota; Viridiplantae; Streptophyta; Magnoliopsida; Rosales; Rosaceae.